Molecule: non-coding RNA, 703 nt
Filed under: Drosophila sechellia
Lineage: Eukaryota; Metazoa; Arthropoda; Insecta; Diptera; Drosophilidae
Description: Eukaryotic large subunit ribosomal RNA
Rfam family: Eukaryotic large subunit ribosomal RNA
Source: Rfam by way of RNAcentral
GGUGUUCAUACACACAGGGACAGCAAAAGCUCGGCCUAUCGAUACUUGUUGGUUUAAAGAGUUUUUAACAAGAGGUGUCAGCAAAGUUCCCAAAGGGAUAUCUGGCUUGUGGCGGCCAAGCGUUUAUAGCGACGUCGCUUUUUGAUCCUUCGAUGUCGGCUCUUCCUAUCAUUGUGAAGCAAAAUUCACCAUGCGUUGGAUUGUUCACACAUGCAAGGGAACGUGAGCUGGGUUUAGACCGUCGUGAGACAGGUUAGUUUUACCCUACUAAUGACAAAACGUUGUUGCGACAGCAUUCCUGCGUAGUACGAGAGGAACCGCAGGUACGGACCAAUGGCACAAUACUUGUUCGAACGAACAGUGGUAUGACGCUACGUCCGUUGGACGCCUCUAAGGUCGUAUCCGUGCUGGACUGCAAUGAUAAAUUGCAAUUUGCAUUGUAUGGCUUCUAAACCAUUUAAAGUUUAUAAUUUAUUUUAUAAGCGACAAUGGAUGUGAUGCCAAUGUAAUUUGUAUCAUAGUAAAUUAGGAGGAUCUUCGAUCACCUGAUGCCGCGCUAGUUACAUAUUAAAUUAUUAUUUAAUACAAUGACAAAGCCUAGAAUAAAUUGUAAACGACUUUUGUAACAGGCAAGGUGUUGUAAGUGGUUGAGGAGCUGCCAUACUGCGAUCCACUGAAGCUUAUCCUUUGCUUGAUGAUUCGA